CAAGCGGUGGAUGAUGUGGAUUAAUUCCAUGCAACGCGAAAAACCUUACCUACCCUUGACAUGGUCGGAAUUCUGCCAAAAGGUGGAAGUGCUCUAAAGAAAACCGAUACACAGGUGCUGCAUGGCUGUCGUCAGCUCGUGUCGUGAGAUGUUGGGUUAAGUCCCGCAACGAGCGCAACCCUUGUCAUUAGUUGCUACGAAAGGGCACUCUAAUGAGACUGCCGGUGACAAACCGGAGGAAGGUGGGGAUGACGUCGAGUCCUCAUGGCCCUUAUGGGUAGGGCUUCACACGUCAUACUGUGGUACAUACAGAGGGCUGCCAACCCGCGAGGGGGAGCUAAUCCCAAAAAGUGUAUCGUAGUCCGGAUUGUAAUCUGCAACUCCACUACAUGAAGUUGGAAUCGCUAGUAAUCGCGGAUCAGCAUGUCGCGGUGAAUACGUUCCCGGGUCUUGUACACACC
Molecule: ribosomal RNA, 461 nt
Filed under: uncultured bacterium
Lineage: Bacteria
Description: bacterial SSU rRNA
Rfam family: Bacterial small subunit ribosomal RNA
Source: RNAcentral